RNAcentral lists this ribosomal RNA (468 nucleotides) under uncultured bacterium. RNAcentral's name for it is "partial 16S ribosomal RNA". It matches the Rfam family "Bacterial small subunit ribosomal RNA", at positions 28 to 507 of the family's 1533-position model. The record is from RNAcentral.
GACGAACGCUGGCGGCGUGCUUAACACAUGCAAGUCGAACGGAAAGGCCCUGCUUUUGUGGGGUGCUCGAGUGGCGAACGGGUGAGUAACACGUGAGUAACCUGCACUUGACUUUGGGGUAACUUCAGGAAACUGGGGCUAAUACCGGAUAGGAGCUCCUGCUGCAUGGUGGGGGUGGGAAAGUUUCGGCGGUUGGGGAUGGACUGGCGGCUUAUCAGCUUGUUGGUGGGGUAGUGGCUUACCAAGGCUUUGACGGGUAGCCGGCCUGCGAGGGUGACCGGCCACAUUGGGACUGAGAUACGGCCCAGACUCCUACGGGAGGCAGCAGUGGGGAAUAUUGCACAAUGGGCGGAAGCCUGAUGCAGCAACGCCGCGUGCGGGAUGACGGCCUUCGGGUUGUAAACCGCUUUCGCCUGUGACGAAGCGUGAGUGACGGUAAUGGGUAAAGAAGCACCGGCUAACUACGUG